CCAGAAUGGGAACGAGUAGCCUUGAUCCCAGGUUUUCCAACUGUUCAGGUGGCAGACACCUGGUUAUCGUGGCUCUUCCCAGGCGUCUGUGUGACCCAGGUGUCAUACAGUGCCCUGGAGGCAGUGCCUGGUCAAAAAGAAGCUGGCGCUGAGACGUCAUCUUUUUACUCUGCUCUGCUGCGUAUUCAGCCCAAAAUUGUGCACUGCUGGAGGCCAAUGCGGCGCACGUUCAAAAGCUAUGAUGAGGCUGGAACGGGGCUGCUAAGCAUCGCAGAUUUCAGGACGGUCCUGAGACAGUACAGCAUCAACCUCUCUGAGGAAGAGUUCUUCCAUAUUCUGGAGUAUUACGAUAAGACACUGUCUUCAAAAAUCUCCUACAACGACUUCCUCCGGGCGUUCCUCCAGUAGACACCCCUGCCGUGCGCCCAGCGGGACGACAGCCACAGGGCCUGUUUCAAGACUAAUAAAAUCCUAUAAUUUGGG
This 483-nucleotide small RNA is filed under the name Pongo abelii (Sumatran orangutan). Its description in RNAcentral is "processed transcript". Lineage: Eukaryota; Metazoa; Chordata; Mammalia; Primates; Hominidae. The record is from RNAcentral.